Long non-coding RNA from Hirundo rustica (Barn swallow), 218 nucleotides. RefSeq lists it as uncharacterized. Lineage: Eukaryota; Metazoa; Chordata; Aves; Passeriformes; Hirundinidae. The record is from RefSeq and is a predicted model, not a curated record. The transcript has 3 exons.
GGACUUUCUACAGGACCAUCUCUACUCCACAGAACCACAUCUGUUACUCCAGGAAGACUUAUUUGGACGGCUUCCAACACCUUGACCACCGGGGUGCCAGACUUCACAGAAAUGACCAGCAGAGUUCUGUUGUUGACUUCUGUGGAUGAUGACAGCAUGAGCAAGAUUUUUACGGUGGGGACAAUAUGACAAUCUGGAGUUGCAGUGCCAAAGCUUGU